Molecule: ribosomal RNA, 658 nt
Filed under: Rhexia mutabilis
Lineage: Eukaryota; Metazoa; Arthropoda; Insecta; Hemiptera; Membracidae
Description: SSU rRNA
Rfam family: Eukaryotic small subunit ribosomal RNA
Source: RNAcentral
GACGUCCUGCCGGUGGCGCUCCGGGCUCUCGGUCUUGUGUAGGUUCGCCAAAGCAAGUCGAGAGACUCCGGUCGCCGAUUCAAUCCCGCCGCGGUGCUCUUCAUUGAGUGUCGAGGUGGGCCGGCAAAUUUACUUUGAACAAAUUAGAGUGCUUAAAGCAGGCUGAUUUCCGCCUGAAUACUGUGUGCAUGGAAUAAUGGAAUAGGACUUCGGUUCUAUUUUAUUGGUUUUAAGAAACCGAAGUAAUGAUUAAUAGGGACAGGCGGGGGCAUUCGUAUUGCGACGUUAGAGGUGAAAUUCUUGGAUCGUCGCAAGACGUACCUAAGCGAAAGCAUUUGCCAAGUAUGUCCUCGUUAAUCAAGAACGAAAGUUAGAGGUUCGAAGGCGAUCAGAUACCGCCCUAGUUCUAACCAUAAACGAUGCCAGCCAGCGAUCCGCCAAUGUUCCUCCGAUGACUUGGCGGGCAGCUUCCGGGAAACCAAAGCUUUUGGGUUCCGGGGGAAGUAUGGUUGCAAAGCUGAAACUUAAAGGAAUUGACGGAAGGGCACCACCAGGAGUGGAGCCUGCGGCUUAAUUUGACUCAACACGGGAAACCUCACCAGGCCAGGACACUGGAAGGAUUGACAGAUUGAUAGCUCUUUCUUGAUUCAGUGGGUGG